This 538-nucleotide long non-coding RNA is filed under the name Setaria viridis. Its description in RNAcentral is "long non-coding RNA (SVIR_LNC004879)". The record is from RNAcentral. Lineage: Eukaryota; Viridiplantae; Streptophyta; Magnoliopsida; Poales; Poaceae.
GUGGAGUUUGAGUAGGAGGUUGUGUCCGCACCCAACGCUGUCUGUGGUGUUGGCCUUCGCAAGAUGCUUCUGCUGCCGUGUAGUCCCGAGUGCUGUCUUUUGGUAGUCGCUUGGUUAGGCGCUAUUAUUUAUUUGCUUCCUAUCGCGGCGUGGCUUUCACGCCCACUCCCUCAGGAGUUGUACGGUAACUGAAUUAUCUGUCGAAUAAAUGUGUUAUCAGCCUCCUGGGAUUGAUAUUUGCAUCACAUUUAGUCUCCGCUAAUGUGGGGAUGCUUCUAGGUCGUGGCCACAUCUAGACGUAACUAGGCUCUGGUCUAGACAGAAAUAAACUUGAGUAGAGUUCUCUCCGAUGAAGCAGAUGUAGGUUCAGAAAAUUGGAGGGGACUAUAGAGAAAAGAAAUGAGAUUCACACUUGUGGAGCUCGAAGAUGUAGUGGCGCAUGGUUGGACGGGGCAGCCGAUGCUUGCGUGACAUCCUCGCUCAACUGCUCAGUUGCGCCAACAUGGGUGCAGCCGCUGCAAGGAUGCUGAGAUGUUCC